Molecule: ribosomal RNA, 817 nt
Filed under: marine metagenome
Description: bacterial SSU rRNA
Rfam family: Bacterial small subunit ribosomal RNA
Source: RNAcentral
AGAGUUUGAUCCUGGCUCAGGACGAACGCUGGCGGUGCGCCUUAUGCAUGCAAGUCGAGCGAAGCUUUUCAGUAGUUUACUACAGAAAAUGACUGAGCGGCGAACGGGUGAGUAACGCGUGAGCAAUCUACCUUAGUUACAGGGAUAGCCCGAGGAAACUCGGAUUAAUACCUGAUAUUCUUUACAUUUCGCAUGAAAUCAAAAGGAAAGGUCAGCCGAACUAAGAUGAGCUCGCGUUCUAUCAGCUAGUUGGUGAGGUAAAAGCUCACCAAGGCAACGACGGAUAGCUGGUCUGAGAGGACGAUCAGCCACACUGGGACUGAGACACGGCCCAGACUCCUACGGGAGGCUGCAGCAGGGAAUAUUGCGCAAUGAGCGAAAGCUUGACGCAGCGACACCGCGUGUGGGAUGACGGAUCUAGGUUUGUAAACCACUUUCAGGAGGGAAGAAAAUGACGGUACCUCCACAAGAAGCCCCGGCCAACUACGUGCCAGCAGCCGCGGUAAUACGUAGGGGGCGAGCGUUGUCCGGAUUUAUUGGGCGUAAAGAGCUCGUAGGCGGUUCAACAAGUCGGUCGUAAAAGUUCAGGGCUCAACCCUGAAAUGUCGAUCGAUACUGUUGUGACUAGGAUACGGUAGAGGUGAGUGGAAUUCCGAGUGUAGCGGUGAAAUGCGUAGAUAUUCGGAGGAACACCAAUUGCGAAGGCAGCUCACUGGGCCGCUAUCGACGCUGAGGAGCGAAAGCUAGGGGAGCAAACAGGAUUAGAUACCCUGGUAGUCCUAGCUGUAAACGAUGGAUACUAGACGUAGGAACUGGA